RNAcentral lists this ribosomal RNA (800 nucleotides) under uncultured Flavobacterium sp. RNAcentral describes it as "bacterial SSU rRNA". It matches the Rfam family "Bacterial small subunit ribosomal RNA", at positions 540 to 1348 of the family's 1533-position model. Lineage: Bacteria; Pseudomonadati; Bacteroidota; Flavobacteriia; Flavobacteriales; Flavobacteriaceae. The record is from RNAcentral.
GUUAUCCGGAAUCAUUGGGUUUAAAGGGUCCGUAGGCGGUUUAGUAAGUCAGUGGUGAAAGCCCAUCGCUCAACGGUGGAACGGCCAUUGAUACUGCUAAACUUGAAUUAUUAGGAAGUAACUAGAAUAUGUAGUGUAGCGGUGAAAUGCUUAGAGAUUACAUGGAAUACCAAUUGCGAAGGCAGGUUACUACUAAUGGAUUGACGCUGAUGGACGAAAGCGUGGGUAGCGAACAGGAUUAGAUACCCUGGUAGUCCACGCCGUAAACGAUGGAUACUAGCUGUUGGAAGCAAUUUCAGUGGCUAAGCGAAAGUGAUAAGUAUCCCACCUGGGGAGUACGUUCGCAAGAAUGAAACUCAAAGGAAUUGACGGGGGCCCGCACAAGCGGUGGAGCAUGUGGUUUAAUUCGAUGAUACGCGAGGAACCUUACCAAGGCUUAAAUGUAGAUUGACCGGUUUGGAAACAGACUUUUCGCAAGACAAUUUACAAGGUGCUGCAUGGUUGUCGUCAGCUCGUGCCGUGAGGUGUCAGGUUAAGUCCUAUAACGAGCGCAACCCCUAUUGUUAGUUGCCAGCGGGUCAUGCCGGGAACUCUAACAAGACUGCCGGUGCAAACCGUGAGGAAGGUGGGGAUGACGUCAAAUCAUCACGGCCCUUACGUCCUGGGCUACACACGUGCUACAAUGGACGGUACAGAGAGCAGCCACUGCGCAAGCAGGCGCGAAUCUUCAAAGCCGUUCUCAGUUCGGAUCGGAGUCUGCAACUCGACUCCGUGAAGCUGGAUUCGCUAGUAAUCGCAUA